CUCCAAGUCGGGUUCGUGCGUGUGAUGGAUAAGCUCAUAGAACAUCCUUAAUUUACUAGGGGUAUCAGUCGUAUAUGCCAUGCUGCGUUUGUUGCAGGUGAAGAGUCGGGGUGAGCAAAUUUGAAAGCGCAUGUUGAUGCCGGGAUGUAUGAUCUAUCUGCUAGUGAUUCUCGUUCAAGCUAUUCCUCAGGUUUGGAUGAUGCUCUGUUGGCCUUCGCUACUAUGGAUUUUUAGGGGUGUUCGUUUGGAUGGAUCGGUUUGAUCUGAUCCAAUCAAGUGAAUCCAAAUAGAUAAAUAAUAAAUAUUUAUUUGGUUUUUUUGGACUAUUCGGUUCUUAUUUUAUAAACCCAAACCAAUCCGAAAUCCAAAAUAAUAGUUCGGUUUUGUUGAAAGCCAAUCCAAAAGUCCGAAUAUCCGAACUACAUAGUCCAAUCCAAAUUGUCCAAUUGGAUAAUUCGAUUUUUUCCGAAUAGUGAACAUUCCUAUGGAUUUUGCAGGUGUACUUCGGUUAGGUCAGCUUAGCAUGGAUGUAGUGAGGGUGUUUUGUGCAUUUGAUGAUCGUAAGGAUGUUACGGGGAUGCUAUGGUGGGUCCUGUUGGAGGGAAUGGUGCUGGUGCGGAUGGUGCGGGAUGGCCAGCGGCCGGUGGUGUUGAAGAUGGUGAUGGCUCCGAUGGUAUUUGAAGCUUUUUAGAGCUUCCCUUCCAGGUGUGAAAAAAUUUGGUGAAGCUUGUUUUCCUUGUUUCUGUUUCCUUUUGUUGCCAAGUAAUUUGUGGCCUUCGAGGUCUUUUAUUAUGUGUGCCCUCGACCUUUCGUGGUAGGGCUUUAUUUAUACAUUAAUCGGCAAUGGUCGUGUUUGCUUCUAUUAGUUUUGGUGCAACCUUGUUAUCUAUGGUUGUUCAUCUUGAUUGUCUCUUUGCAUGGUGUGUGUCGAUCAUCAUACCCUCGUUGGCUUGUGCCAGUGACUCCACAUGAGUUGGAAGCAUUGAGGGUAUAUUGCGAUUGGCUACUCCAAGUCGGGUUCGUGCGUGUGAUGGAUAAGCUCAUAGAACAUCCUUAAUUUACUAGGGGUAUCAGUCGUAUAUGCCAUGCUGCGUUUGUUGCAGGUGAAGAGUCGGGGUGAGCAAAUUUGAAAGCGCAUGUUGAUGCCGGGAUGUAUGAUCUAUCUGCUAGUGAUUCUCGUUCAAGCUAUUCCUCAGGUUUGGAUGAUGCUCUGUUGGCCUUCGCUACUAUGGAUUUUUAGGGGUGUUCGUUUGGAUGGAUCGGUUUGAUCUGAUCCAAUCAAGUGAAUCCAAAUUGAUUUCGGUAUUCAAAACAUAGAACCGAAUAGUCGAAACUAAAUUAAAAUCGGAUCCGAUCCGAUCCAAUUACAAUUCGGCUGGAUCGGUUUUUAUAAUUCGGUUUUCAAAAACCGAAACAUUUUAAAACGACAUAUAAUUAUAAUAUUACCCAAUGUUACACAAGAAGCAAAAGCAAAUUAUAUAGUUGUGAUUUGAAAUUUAAAAACAACUAAUAAGAAGAUAUAUUAUAGUUAAAUAUUUUACAGAUAGAAAACUUUUGAGAGAAAAUGCAUAUUAAUUUUUUUAUCGGGUGAAACGUUUUGAACCUAUUUGAA
RNAcentral lists this long non-coding RNA (1612 nucleotides) under Lactuca sativa (garden lettuce). RNAcentral describes it as "long non-coding RNA (LSAT_LNC007669)". Lineage: Eukaryota; Viridiplantae; Streptophyta; Magnoliopsida; Asterales; Asteraceae. The record is from RNAcentral.